RNAcentral lists this ribosomal RNA (401 nucleotides) under uncultured bacterium. RNAcentral's name for it is "partial 16S ribosomal RNA". It matches the Rfam family "Archaeal small subunit ribosomal RNA", at positions 473 to 873 of the family's 1478-position model. The record is from RNAcentral.
ACACCGGCAGCUCUAGUGGUAGCUGUUUUUAUUGGGCCUAAAGCGUUCGUAGCCGGUUUGAUAAGUCACUGGUGAAAUCCUGUAGCUUAACUGUGGGAAUUGCUGGUGAUACUGUUGAACUUGAGGUCGGGAGAGGUUAGCGGUACUCCCAGGGUAGAGGUGAAAUUCUGUAAUCCUGGGAGGACCACCUGUGGCGAAGGCGGCUAGCUGGAACGAACCUGACGGUGAGGGACGAAAGCUAGGGGCGCGAACCGGAUUAGAUACCCGGGUAGUCCUAGCCGUAAACGAUGCGGACUUGGUGUUGGGAUGGCUUUGAGCCGCUCCGGUGCCGAAGGGAAGCUGUUAAGUCCGCCGCCUGGGAAGUACGGUCGCAAGACUGAAACUUAAAUGAAUUGGCGGGG